RNAcentral lists this long non-coding RNA (459 nucleotides) under Monodelphis domestica (gray short-tailed opossum). Its description in RNAcentral is "lncRNA (ENSMODG00000045575.1)". Lineage: Eukaryota; Metazoa; Chordata; Mammalia; Didelphimorphia; Didelphidae. The record is from RNAcentral.
UAAAUGACUGAAUAACCAUCUAAAAUGAAUACUUGAUACUAGAACUUUUAUUUUUCUUUCAUUUACAGAAGAGUUUGGGAGGGUAGAUGACCUUGCAACAGACUUGUCAAAAUGGGGAAAAAAUGAAAAAAAGAAAGAAAAUAAUGACAUUGAAACAUCAUUUAAAAAAUUCAAAGAGGACUGAUAUAAGGUCCUUAGUUGUCUCAUCUAUAAAAGAAAGAAGUGGAAAUGAUUUCUGAGAUCUCUUCCAGCUCUUAUACUCAGCAUUCUACUAAGUACAGAAGAUACAAAAAAAGAGAAAAUAUAUAGUCCCUGACCUCAAGGAGUUCACAAUCUAAAAGGAGACACAACAUUCAAACAACAUACACAGAGAAGCCUACAUACAGGAUGAAUUAAAAAAAGUAAUUAAAAGAGAGAAGGCACUAGAGCAAAAAGAGAUUGUGAAAGGCUUCCAAUAAA